RNAcentral lists this small nuclear RNA (104 nucleotides) under Myotis davidii. The record is from RNAcentral. Lineage: Eukaryota; Metazoa; Chordata; Mammalia; Chiroptera; Vespertilionidae.
GCGCUUGCUUUGGCGGCACUUAUACUAAAAUUGGAAUGAUACAGAGAUUGGCAUGAUCCCUGCGCAAGGAUGACGCACAAAUUCGUGAAGUGUUCCAUAUAUAU